This 224-nucleotide ribosomal RNA is filed under the name uncultured bacterium. RNAcentral describes it as "partial 16S ribosomal RNA". It matches the Rfam family "Bacterial small subunit ribosomal RNA", at positions 524 to 745 of the family's 1533-position model. The record is from RNAcentral.
UACGUAGGGUGCAAGCGUUGUCCGGAAUUAUUGGGCGUAAAGAGCUCGUAGGCGGUCUGUCGCGUCUGCUGUGAAAACUCGGGGCUUAACCCCGGGCCUGCAGUGGGUACGGGCAGACUAGAGUGCGGUAGGGGAGACUGGAAUUCCUGGUGUAGCGGUGAAAUGCGGCAGAUAUCAGGAGGAACACCGGUGGCGAAGGCGGGUCUCUGGGCCGUAACUGAACG